RNAcentral lists this ribosomal RNA (233 nucleotides) under uncultured bacterium. RNAcentral's name for it is "partial 16S ribosomal RNA". It matches the Rfam family "Bacterial small subunit ribosomal RNA", at positions 15 to 228 of the family's 1533-position model. The record is from RNAcentral.
GAUCAUGGCUCAGGACGAACGCUGGCGGCGUGCUUAACACAUGCAAGUCGAACGGAGCACCCUUGAAUGAGGUUUCGGCCAAAGGAAAGGAAUGCUUAGUGGCGGACUGGUGAGUAACGCGUGAGGAACCUGCCCUUUCAGAGGGGGGACAACAGCUGGAAACGGCUGCUAAUACCGCAUGACGCAUUCGGAUGGCAUCAUCUGAAUGCCAAAGNUUUAUCGCUGAAAGAUGG